UCGGUAUCACGAUCUCUAUUUCCUUUACUGAUGCAGAGUUGAGGGCCAGAGUUUACCCCGACAGUGUGAGAGCUGGAGACAACGUUACUCUCAAAUGUCAAACGUCCUGCCAGUUUCCCAGCACAGUUUGGUUUAAAGGUGAACUUCCUGUAGCCAACUCAGAGUUCCAGGCUCAAGCAGAGGAUGCUGGGAAUUAUUGUUGUGCUGCCAAAGGACAGGAGUCCAUUCCAUCUGAACCUGUGGCUCUGAAAGUACAGUAUCCCCCGUUGAUUGUAUCUGUGGGGUGAGUUAUUCGGACCACCUGACAGAAGUGUGAAUGUGAGCUGCAACAGUGCUGCUGACCCUCCUGCAGACAACUACACCUGGUACAGGACCUCUGCUUCUGGCUCCAGCUCCUGGUUUCCCCUCCCGCUGGGAUCAGGACCGGUGCUGUCUCUCUCCUCACGCUGGACUGGUGGCAGAGAAGCACCAAUGAUCAUGACAACAUCGGCACUGACUAAAUGGGCGAAAUAAGCUCAAGGUACAAACCGACCGCGACCUCCUUUCCUUGCAAAGGUUCAGUCCUUCUAACGCCACUGGAGACAUCACCAAGAAAACAGAACUUAAUUUCAAUGAAUGAAGGCAAAAUGUGCAAAAUGUCUCUCAAUAAAUACCUUUUCAUCAUGAA
Molecule: long non-coding RNA, 667 nt
Organism: Gasterosteus aculeatus aculeatus (three-spined stickleback)
Lineage: Eukaryota; Metazoa; Chordata; Actinopteri; Perciformes; Gasterosteidae
Source: Ensembl